Molecule: ribosomal RNA, 800 nt
Filed under: Linocarpon bambusinum
Lineage: Eukaryota; Fungi; Ascomycota; Sordariomycetes; Chaetosphaeriales; Linocarpaceae
Description: Linocarpon sp. XZ-2022a partial large subunit ribosomal RNA
Rfam family: Eukaryotic large subunit ribosomal RNA
Source: RNAcentral
GCCUCAACGGCGAGUGAAGCGGCAGCAGCUCAAAUUUGAAAGCCGGCCCGGCCCGCGUUGUAAUUUGCAGAGGACGCUUCUGGCCCGGCCCCCUCCGAGUCCCCUGGAACGGGGCGCCGCAGAGGGUGAGAGCCCCGUACGGUCGGGCGCCGGGCCAGUGUGAAGCUCCUUCGACGAGUCGAGUAGUUUGGGAAUGCUGCUCUAAACGGGAGGUAAAUUCCUUCUAAGGCUAAAUACCGGCUGGAGACCGAUAGCGCACAAGUAGAGUGAUCGAAAGAUGAAAAGCACUUUGAAAAGAGGGUUAAACAGCACGUGAAAUUGUUGAAAGGGAAGCGCCCGUGGCCAGACUUGGGCCGGCCGAUCACCCGGCGUUCUCGCCGGUGCACUCGGCCCGGCGCAGGCCAGCAUCGGCUUCCGCGGGGGGACAAAGGCCCCGGGAACGUAGCUCCCUCGGGAGUGUUAUAGCCCGGGGGAAUGCCCCCGCGGGGGCCGAGGUACGCGCUCCGCAAGGAUGCUGGCGUAAUGGCCACCGGCGACCCGUCUUGAAACACGGACCAAGGAGUCAAGGUUUUGCGCGAGUGUUUGGGUGUCAAACCCGCACGCGAAAUGAAAGUGAACGCUGGUGGGAGCCUCGGCGCACCACCGACCGAUCCUGAUGUUCUCGGAUGGAUUUGAGUAGGAGCGCAGUGCCUUGGACCCGAAAGAUGGUGAACUAUGCUUGGAUAGGGUGAAGCCAGAGGAAACUCUGGUGGAGGCUCGCAGCGGUUCUGACGUGCAAAUCGAUCGUCAAAUCUGAGCAU